GACGAACGCUGGCAGCGUGCCUAAUACAUGCAAGUAGAACGCACAGUUUAUACCGUAGCUUGCUACACCAUAGACUGUGAGUUGCGAACGGGUGAGUAACGCGUAGGUAACCUGCCUGGUAGCGGGGGAUAACUAUUGGAAACGAUAGCUAAUACCGCAUAAUAUUGAUUAUUGCAUGAUAAUUGAUUGAAAGAUGCUAUUGCAUCACUACCAGAUGGACCUGCGUUGUAUUAGCUAGUAGGUGAGGUAACGGCUCACCUAGGCGACGAUACAUAGCCGACCUGAGAGGGUGAUCGGCCACACUGGGACUGAGACACGGCCCAGACUCCUACGGGAGGCAGCAGUAGGGAAUCUUCGGCAAUGGACGAAAGUCUGACCGAGCAACGCCGCGUGAGUGAAGAAGGUUUUCGGAUCGUAAAGCUCUGUUGUAAGAGAAGAACGGGUGUGAGAGUGGAAAGUUCACACUGUGACGGUAUCUUACCAGAAAGGGACGGCUAACUACGUG
This 505-nucleotide ribosomal RNA is filed under the name uncultured bacterium. Its description in RNAcentral is "partial 16S ribosomal RNA". It matches the Rfam family "Bacterial small subunit ribosomal RNA", at positions 28 to 507 of the family's 1533-position model. The record is from RNAcentral.